RNAcentral lists this ribosomal RNA (292 nucleotides) under uncultured eukaryote. Its description in RNAcentral is "partial 18S ribosomal RNA". It matches the Rfam family "Eukaryotic small subunit ribosomal RNA", at positions 6 to 295 of the family's 1831-position model. The record is from RNAcentral.
GGUUGAUCCUGCCAGUAGUCAUAUGCUUGUCUCAAAGAUUAAGCCAUGCAUGUCUAAGUACAAACCAUACUAAGGUGAAACCGCGAAUGGCUCAUUAAAUCAGUUACGGUUCAUUGGAUGUUGACCGUUUACAUGGAUAACUGUGGUAAUUCUAGAGCUAAUACAUGCCCAAAGGUCUCGCUCGCAAGGGUGGGACGCAUUUAUUAGACCAAGACCAAGGAGGGGCAACCCUCUGCCGGUGGUGACUCUGAAUAACUACAGCCGAUCGCAUGGCCUCGUGCCGGCGACAUAU